Molecule: ribosomal RNA, 481 nt
Filed under: Fusarium oxysporum
Lineage: Eukaryota; Fungi; Ascomycota; Sordariomycetes; Hypocreales; Nectriaceae
Description: eukaryotic LSU rRNA
Rfam family: 5.8S ribosomal RNA (bases 115-268)
Source: RNAcentral
CCACUUGUUGCCUCGGCGGAUCAGCCCGCUCCCGGUAAAACGGGACGGCCCGCCAGAGGACCCCUAAACUCUGUUUCUAUAUGUAACUUCUGAGUAAAACCAUAAAUAAAUCAAAACUUUCAACAACGGAUCUCUUGGUUCUGGCAUCGAUGAAGAACGCAGCAAAAUGCGAUAAGUAAUGUGAAUUGCAGAAUUCAGUGAAUCAUCGAAUCUUUGAACGCACAUUGCGCCCGCCAGUAUUCUGGCGGGCAUGCCUGUUCGAGCGUCAUUUCAACCCUCAAGCACAGCUUGGUGUUGGGACUCGCGUUAAUUCGCGUUCCUCAAAUUGAUUGGCGGUCACGUCGAGCUUCCAUAGCGUAGUAGUAAAACCCUCGUUACUGGUAAUCGUCGCGGCCACGCCGUUAAACCCCAACUUCUGAAUGUUGACCUCGGAUCAGGUAGGAAUACCCGCUGAACUUAAGCAUAUCAAUAGCCGGAGGAA